Molecule: ribosomal RNA, 627 nt
Filed under: Aspergillus sp. F62
Lineage: Eukaryota; Fungi; Ascomycota; Eurotiomycetes; Eurotiales; Aspergillaceae
Description: LSU rRNA
Rfam family: Eukaryotic large subunit ribosomal RNA
Source: RNAcentral
ACCCGCUGAUUUAAGCAUAUCAAUAAGCGGAGGAAAAGAAACCAACCGGGAUUGCCUCAGUAACGGCGAGUGAAGCGGCGAGAGCUCAAAUUUGAAAGCUGGCUCCUUCGGGGUCCGCAUUGUAAUUUGCAGAGGAUGCUUCGGGUGCAGCCCCCGUCUAAGUGCCCUGGAACGGGCCGUCAUAGAGGGUGAGAAUCCCGUAUGGGGCGGGGUGUCUGCGUCCGUGUGAAGCUCCUUCGACGAGUCGAGUUGUUUGGGAAUGCAGCUCUAAAUGGGUGGUAAAUUUCAUCUAAAGCUAAAUACUGGCCGGAGACCGAUAGCGCACAAGUAGAGUGAUCGAAAGAUGAAAAGCACUUUGAAAAGAGAGUUAAACAGCACGUGAAAUUGUUGAAAGGGAAGCGCUUGCAACCAGACUCGCUCGCGGGGUUCAGCCGGGCUUCGGCCCGGUGUACUUCCCCGCGGGCGGGCCAGCGUCGGUUUGGGCGGCCGGUCAAAGGCCUCCGGAAUGUAGCGCCCUUCGGGGCGCCUUAUAGCCGGGGGUGCAAUGCGGCCAGCCUGGACCGAGGAACGCGCUUCGGCACGGACGCUGGCAUAAUGGUUGUAAACGACCCGUCUUGAAACACGGAA